This is a non-coding RNA of Mycena galericulata, 69 nucleotides long. NCBI's taxonomy places the organism in Eukaryota, Fungi, Basidiomycota, Agaricomycetes, Agaricales, Mycenaceae. The record is from the annotation of a GenBank genome assembly.
GACUCGGUACUCUAGUGGUUACGACUGCGGCUUGCAACGCCUUCGGCGCAGGUUCGAUCCCGUUUGACG